Eriocheir sinensis (Chinese mitten crab) is the source of this 532-nucleotide long non-coding RNA. RefSeq lists it as uncharacterized. The record is from RefSeq and is a predicted model, not a curated record. The transcript is spliced from 3 exons. Lineage: Eukaryota; Metazoa; Arthropoda; Malacostraca; Decapoda; Varunidae.
CAUGUAGUGGGGAAAGGUACUUAAGUUGGAUCAUGUAGUGGGAAAGGUACUUAAGUUGGAUCAUGUAGUGGGAAAGGUACUUAAGUUGGAUCAUGUAGUGGGGAAAGGUACUUAAGUUGGAUCAUGUAGUGGGGAAAGGUACUUAAGUUGGAUCAUGUAGUGGGGAAAGGUACUUAAGUUGGAUCAUGUAGUGGGGAAAGGUACUUAAGUUGGAUCAUGUAGUGGGGAAAGGUACUUAAGUUGGAUCAUGUAGUGGGGAAAGGUACUUAAGUUGGAUCAUGUAGUGGGGAAAGGUACUUAAGUUGGAUCAUGUAGUGGGGAAAGGUACUUAAGUUGGAUCAUGUAGUGGGAAAGGUACUUAAGUUGGGUCAUGUAGUGGGAAAAGUACUUAAACAAUGACAAUUGCAAAAUCUUGUGGAACAAACCGUUGCAAUGCAAGGGAAGCCUGUGUGCAGUGGCAGUCUUAAAUUGGUUAAUUGUGCUCAGCACCCUUGAGGACUCUGUAGAUUUGUGGGAUGCAUUCAAAUGUGAA